GUUCAUUCGAAGGUGUUACGGAAGUAGCGGUUUUGGAAUGCGAAGUGUUACCGGAAAUCGAUAUAAAGUCGGAUGCGUUUCAGUCGCCGGAGUAUCGAUCACUCAGAGAGAAAUUCGUGCUUUCCAAACUCCNACGGGUGGACUACCUUGGGUAUCUUGUGGGUGAGGGGACGCUUCAAGUUAAUUCAGAGAAAGUACGAGCCGUGGAUGAAUUCCCGAUACCGAAGACUCAAAAGCAACUAAGGAGAUUUCUAGGAAUGACUGGGUGGUAUCAACGUUUUAUUUCCAACUACUCUUCUGUUAUCUUUUCUCUCACCGAACUACUCCGUGGAAAGUCGUAUGAAUGGAAUGAAAAGGCACAAGCAGCGUUUGAUGAUGUUAAGUGUAAAUUAUGCUCAGCUCCAUUUUUAAUUCAUCCCAAUUACGACAAGCCUUUUGUAGUUCAAUGCGAUGCAUCUCUUCAUGGGGUAGGUGCAGUUUUAGCCCAAUGUGAUGACACAGGUUGCGAGCGUCCGUUAGCUUACAUGUCCAAGAAGCUGAACAAGGCUCAGCGAAACUACACGGUAACGGAACUCGAAUGCUUGGCGGUAGUACUGGCCAUAAAAAAAUUCCGCAUGUACAUCGAUGGUCAUCCCUUCAAAGUUGUUACGGAUCAUGCAAGCCUCCGUUGGCUUAUGAACCAGUUAGAUCUCAGCGGUAGAUUAGCCAGAUGGGCACUAAAAUUACAAGGUUACUCGUUCGAAAUCGAGCAUAGGAAAGGAAGCGAAAAUGUAGUGGCUGACGCUUUGUCUCGUUCAUUCGAAGGUGUUACGGAAGUAGCGGUUUUGGAAUGCGAAGUGUUACCGGAAAUCGAUAUAAAGUCGGAUGCGUUUCAGUCGCCGGAGUAUCGAUCACUCAGAGAGAAAUUCGUGCUUUCCAAACUCCCAGAUUUUCAAGUAAUCGACGAUUACAUAUAUUAUCGUACAGGUUUUUCCGUGUUGGAUUCUGACCAAGUCGAUGAGUCGUGGAAAUUAUUUGUUCCCGAAGAAUUGAGACAGG
This 1038-nucleotide long non-coding RNA is filed under the name Drosophila guanche. Lineage: Eukaryota; Metazoa; Arthropoda; Insecta; Diptera; Drosophilidae. The record is from RNAcentral.